GAUGAACGCUGGCGGCGUGCCUAAUACAUGCAAGUCGAGCGAACAGACGAGGAGCUUGCUCCUCUGACGUUAGCGGCGGACGGGUGAGUAACACGUGGAUAACCUACCUAUAAGACUGGGAUAACUUCGGGAAACCGGAGCUAAUACCGGAUAACAUGUUGAACCGCAUGGUUCAACAGUGAAAGACGGUUUUGCUGUCACUUAUAGCUGGAUCUGGGUCGCAUUAGCUAGUUGGUAAGGUAACGGCUUACCAAGGCAACGAUGCGUAGCCGACCUGAGAGAGUGAUCGGCCACACUGGAACUGAGACACGGUCCAGACUCCUACGGGAGGCAGCAGUAGGGAAUCUGCCGCAAUGGGCGAAAGCCUGACGGAGCAGCGCCGCGUGAGUGAAGAAGGUCUUCGGAUCGUAAUACUCUGUUAUUAGUGAAGAACAAAUGUGUAAGUAACUAUGCACUUCGUGACGGUACCUAAUCAGAAAGCCACGGCUAACUACGUG
This 497-nucleotide ribosomal RNA is filed under the name uncultured bacterium. RNAcentral's name for it is "partial 16S ribosomal RNA". It matches the Rfam family "Bacterial small subunit ribosomal RNA", at positions 28 to 507 of the family's 1533-position model. The record is from RNAcentral.